CGACCGGCGCACGGGUGAGUAACGCGUAUGCAACUUACCUAUCAGAGGGAGAUAGCCCGGCGAAAGUCGGAUUAAUACCCCAUGAAACAGGGGUCCCGCAUGGGAAUAUUUGUUAAAGAUUCAUCGCUGAUAGAUAGGCAUGCGUUCCAUUAGGCAGUUGGCGGGGUAACGGCCCACCAAACCGACGAUGGAUAGGGGUUCUGAGAGGAAGGUCCCCCACAUUGGUACUGAGACACGGACCAA
This 243-nucleotide ribosomal RNA is filed under the name uncultured bacterium. Its description in RNAcentral is "partial 16S ribosomal RNA". It matches the Rfam family "Bacterial small subunit ribosomal RNA", at positions 92 to 334 of the family's 1533-position model. The record is from RNAcentral.